UACGGGGGGGGCAAGCGUUGUUCGGAAUUACUGGGCGUAAAGGGCUCGUAGGCUGCCAACUAAGUCGGACGUGAAAUCCCUCGGCUUAACCGGGGAACUGCGUCUGAUACUGGAUGGCUUGAGUUUGGGAGAGGGAAGUGGAAUUCCCGGUGUAGUGGUGAAAUGCGUAGAUAUCGGGAGGAACACCAGUGGCGAAGGCGACUUCCUGGCCUGUUCUUGACGCUGAGGCGCGAAAGCUAGGGUAGCAAACGGG
RNAcentral lists this ribosomal RNA (253 nucleotides) under uncultured bacterium. Its description in RNAcentral is "partial 16S ribosomal RNA". It matches the Rfam family "Bacterial small subunit ribosomal RNA", at positions 524 to 776 of the family's 1533-position model. The record is from RNAcentral.